RNAcentral lists this long non-coding RNA (1632 nucleotides) under Olea europaea subsp. europaea. Lineage: Eukaryota; Viridiplantae; Streptophyta; Magnoliopsida; Lamiales; Oleaceae. The record is from RNAcentral.
GUUUCAGUUUUUCAAUUAUUGGUGUAUUCCAAUAUUUAUUUGGUGGAUUCCAAAUAAUUAUCACGUCUGUUCGAGCAAAAUUCAAGCAAACACCCGUUCGUGUGUUACGAACUAGACAACUUUAUUUUAUCCACGUUUCCUUCCAGCGUCACUGUCAAUCUUUACCAUUGCUUAAGGACUAUAUAAUAAGGAAUAAGGUAUACUGGGUGCAAUAAUUGUAGAAAACAUGGGGCGGAGCCAGGGGAUAUCCACUGAAUGUUUGAAUUGAGAAUCAAUAAUUUACACUUUUCAUUCUUAACAUCACCCAGCUCUUCGGAUUGAUUUUUGGUUAUGUAGGAGUUGACAUCUACAUGGAAAGGAAAGAAGCGAUUUGAGAGUGCCAUAGCGGCCAUCAUUUAUAGUCAAGUGAAAGAAGGUGUCAACACAUGCACACAAUCUUAGGUAAACCAUUACUUCAAAAUGUUGGAUUUUCUUACUAAAAUGAGUUUUUCAUCAGGUAUUGCAUUUUGAUCGGAGGCUUCCAGCCAUGUUUUUUUUAUAUUUUUGGCAUUGAGAAUUUAAUAGCUUGAAGGAGAAAAAAAGGGAAAAACAGAUUUUUAGUUUAUAUAUUUUUGGCAUUGCCAUUUCAAUGCUCAGUUACCAUCCUCAAUGGAACUGCCCUUUUUUUUUUGCGGUGUAAUGUUUUAUUUUGUUUUCUAUUGAGUUUAUUGUUGGAUAAUAAAUGCAUAUAUUUUUCCGGAUGAUGCGCACGACCUAAUCACUCUGAGAUAUUAACUUAAGCCCAACUUUUGAGUUUUGAGCACCUCUAUUUAUUUUGGGGGGCUUCAAGAAGUUAACACCGUGUGAAAAAAUCAAAUUAGUAUGGUUAACCCCUUAAGUCAUUAUUUUUCUUUCUCUUAAACUCAAUUUUUGUUACUAAGCAAAAUCUAAACUGAAGAUGUGCAGCAUUGGUGAUUAUAAUUUAGUCAAUCUGUUUAUCCAUUACAAUUUAGUAAUGAAAUCUGAUUGUGAACUGUGUAACAACAGGGGUUUCUCCUCAAGGAAUUCCCAAAGGAUGUAUAUGCCCUAUAACAUCCACACGAGCAGGUCGACGGUGCCAAAAUAAAUGUAAGAUUGAUUCAAAUGAUUCUGCAGUGACUCCCUCCGGUGGUAGUCCUUAUCUUCAGAUGUCAAAGGGAGGGCUGAACAUCAUCGCUACCAUAGGAUGGACGCUAAACCUACAAAAUAGGGCAUUUUACAUAGAAUUGGCACAAUUAUCAUUCGUUUAGUAUGUUAUUCUUAUACAUGUUGUAAAUAUGUAAAAAAAUUCCAAUAUUGGAUAAAUUGUGAAUUUUAUAUUUGUCUAUAUUUUUCUUCCGUAGGUAUGUUAACAUUAUCUUAAAAAUAACAAAGCCCCUGCAUUGCACAAGUAGAAGACUAGUACUUGAAAAAAAUCAUGUCUAGGGGUGAGCAAGGAUCGGGUUGGGUGGGCUGGUACCUAAAGAAAUCAAACUGAUGUCUCCUACAAAGGGAUUCGAUUUGAACAGAAUAAGUUUGGUUUGGAUCAGUUCGAUUUCCUACAAUUUUCUCAUAUCUACUACCGGCCACCCAAACCACCACCACCAUCGUUGAAUACCACAAGCAAAUAAGGAC